GCCCGAUUCACUUAACUAGCUGGUCAGAGUAUCGUACUAAUACAACCCCUCGGGUCAUGUAUCGGGCCCGUUAUGCGAAAGUCGACAGUUCAAGCCUGUCAUUGGGCC
Molecule: non-coding RNA, 108 nt
Organism: Schizothecium vesticola
Lineage: Eukaryota; Fungi; Ascomycota; Sordariomycetes; Sordariales; Schizotheciaceae
Source: the annotation of a GenBank genome assembly